GUCAGGAUAGCUCAGUUGGUAGAGCAGAGACUGAAAAUC
This 39-nucleotide transfer RNA is filed under the name Campeiostachys dahurica var. tangutorum. Its description in RNAcentral is "Elymus tangutorum partial tRNA-Phe". The record is from RNAcentral. Lineage: Eukaryota; Viridiplantae; Streptophyta; Magnoliopsida; Poales; Poaceae.